This 271-nucleotide unclassified non-coding RNA is filed under the name Pyropia suborbiculata. RNAcentral's name for it is "ITS1". Lineage: Eukaryota; Rhodophyta; Bangiophyceae; Bangiales; Bangiaceae. The record is from RNAcentral.
CACAAACAUAGAUGGGACUGACACUCGCAUACACACAUGCGAAAGAUGGACACAAGCACAAAAGCAGAAGGGGGGGGGGGGAAAGGAAAGCCUUUAGAGGCUCCCCCUUGCUCCCCCUCCUUGUCGGCUUUUGUUGGGUGAAAGCCCAACACAACACAUUCACACACUGUAUAUGCCCCUUUUUGUUUUAACCGCUUGCCACAUAGUGCUCACACUUGCUCUUCCUCUUUCACGAGAGGAAAGAGCGGGGCGAGAGCACAGGUGUGGGGAG